GGAGAGAUGGCCGAGUGGCUGAAGGCGUCAGUCUCGAAAACUGAAAUAGGGGCAACUCUAUCGAGGGUUCGAAUCCCUCUCUCUCCGCCA
RNAcentral lists this transfer RNA (90 nucleotides) under Pseudomonadota bacterium. Its description in RNAcentral is "tRNA-Ser". It matches the Rfam family "tRNA". Rfam says of the family: Transfer RNA (tRNA) molecules are approximately 80 nucleotides in length. Their secondary structure includes four short double-helical elements and three loops (D, anti-codon, and T loops). Lineage: Bacteria; Pseudomonadati; Pseudomonadota. The record is from RNAcentral. RNAcentral also lists the same sequence under 1 other name.